Non-coding RNA from Ictidomys tridecemlineatus (thirteen-lined ground squirrel), 364 nucleotides. Lineage: Eukaryota; Metazoa; Chordata; Mammalia; Rodentia; Sciuridae. The record is from RefSeq and is a predicted model, not a curated record.
AGAGGAUUCUUCAGAUGAUGGGGACCUUCAGUGCGUGUGUUUAAAGACCGUGUCCAAAGUCAAUGCCAAGCACAUCACCAACCUGGAGGUGAUCAAGGCUGGACCCCACUGUGCCAACACCCAGAUAAUAGCUACACUGAAGAAUGGAAGUAAAAUUUGCCUUGAAGGGGAGGUUUCUUUCUUUAAGGGAUUAGUCCGGAAACUCAUGGCGAAGUAGUUUCUACCUGGCUAAAUAUGUACUUUGCUAUAAAACUUGUUUGGGUGUCCCCCCACUCCCCGUCUCCCCCCACAUUCUAACUAAAAAAAAAACUUCUAAUGAUUAUAUUAUCCUUCAAAUCUUAAAUAAAUAAAUAAUAUGAACCAA